RNAcentral lists this ribosomal RNA (299 nucleotides) under uncultured Veillonellaceae bacterium. RNAcentral's name for it is "partial 16S ribosomal RNA". Lineage: Bacteria; Bacillati; Bacillota; Negativicutes; Veillonellales; Veillonellaceae. The record is from RNAcentral.
GGAGUAUGGACCGUCUCUCAGUUCCAUUGUGACCGUUCAUCCUCUCAGACCGGUUACCGAUCGUCGGCUUGGUAAGCCUUUACCUUACCAACUACCUAAUCGGACGCAAACCCCUCUCCUAGCGAUAAAUCUUUUAUAUAUCAGUCAUGCAACCAAUAUACUCCAUUCGGUAUUAGCAACCCUUUCGAGCUGUUGUCCCCAUCUUGAAGGUAGGUUAUUUGCGCUUUACUCACCCGUUUGCCACUAGGUACUAGACCCCGUUCGACUUGCAUGUGUUAAGCCUGUAGCUAGCGUUCAUC